GUCUACGGCCAUACCACCCUGAACACACCGACCUCAUUUGAUCUCGAAAGCGAAGCAGGGCCAGGCCUGGUUAGUACUUGGGUGGGAGAGGGAGAGAGACACCCACAGCCCCUGCAGGUG
This 120-nucleotide ribosomal RNA is filed under the name Erinaceus europaeus (western European hedgehog). Lineage: Eukaryota; Metazoa; Chordata; Mammalia; Eulipotyphla; Erinaceidae. The record is from RNAcentral.